RNAcentral lists this small RNA (107 nucleotides) under Marmota monax (woodchuck). Lineage: Eukaryota; Metazoa; Chordata; Mammalia; Rodentia; Sciuridae. The record is from RNAcentral.
GCUGGGCGUGGUGGCGCACACCUGUUAUCCCAGCUACUCUGGAGGCUGAGGCAGGAGGAUUUCAGGUUUGAGGCCAGCUUCAGCAACUUGGUGAUACCCUACCUCAA